Molecule: ribosomal RNA, 164 nt
Filed under: Oxalis dines
Lineage: Eukaryota; Viridiplantae; Streptophyta; Magnoliopsida; Oxalidales; Oxalidaceae
Description: 5.8S ribosomal RNA
Rfam family: 5.8S ribosomal RNA
About the family: 5.8S ribosomal RNA (5.8S rRNA) is a component of the large subunit of the eukaryotic ribosome. It is transcribed by RNA polymerase I as part of the 45S precursor that also contains 18S and 28S rRNA.
Source: RNAcentral
AAAAUGACUCUCGGCAACGGAUAUCUCGGCUCUCGCAUCGAUGAAGAACGUAGCGAAAUGCGAUACUUGGUGUGAAUUGCAGAAUCCCGUGAACCAUCGAGUCUUUGAACGCAAGUUGCGCCCGAAGCCUUUAGGCCGAGGGCACGCCUGCCUGGGUGUCACAC